UUAAUUGAAGAGUUUGAUCAUGGCUCAGAUUGAACGCUGGCGGCAGGCCUAACACAUGCAAGUCGAGCGGUAACAGAAAGUAGCUUGCUACUUUGCUGACRAGCGGCGGACGGGUGAGUAAUGCCUAGGGAUCUGCCCAGUCGAGGGGGAUAACAGUUGGAAACGACUGCUAAUACCGCAUACGCCCUACGGGGGAAAGGAGGGGACCUUCGGGCCUUUCGCGAUUGGAUGAACCUAGGUGGGAUUAGCUAGUUGGUAAGGUAAUGGCUUACCAAGGCGACGAUCCCUAGCUGUUCUGAGAGGAUGAUCAGCCACACUGGGACUGAGACACGGCCCAGACUCCUACGGGAGGCAGCAGUGGGGAAUAUUGCACAAUGGGGGAAACCCUGAUGCAGCCAU
This 399-nucleotide ribosomal RNA is filed under the name Shewanella sp. UCD-FRSSP16_17. Its description in RNAcentral is "bacterial SSU rRNA". It matches the Rfam family "Bacterial small subunit ribosomal RNA", at positions 1 to 395 of the family's 1533-position model. Lineage: Bacteria; Pseudomonadati; Pseudomonadota; Gammaproteobacteria; Alteromonadales; Shewanellaceae. The record is from RNAcentral.